Molecule: unclassified non-coding RNA, 240 nt
Filed under: soil metagenome
Description: partial contains 5.8S ribosomal RNA, internal transcribed spacer 2, and large subunit ribosomal RNA
Source: RNAcentral
AACGCACGAGACCUGCGGACCUGCGGAGGGAUCAUUACUGAAUAGCCAAAGAGAAAGAUUGAUGCUGACUCUUAGAGUAUGUGCACAUCUUUCUUGACGCAUUCAAAAUUCCCAUAUACAUUUGUGCACAUUUGUAGACUGAGCAUAUCAGUCUAUGUUUUUUUCUUCAAAACACUUUGAAAAAAGUUAUUAUGAAAAAUGUAUUCUAAUACAACUUUUAACAACGGAUCUCUAGAUCGG